Molecule: ribosomal RNA, 465 nt
Filed under: Vreelandella stevensii
Lineage: Bacteria; Pseudomonadati; Pseudomonadota; Gammaproteobacteria; Oceanospirillales; Halomonadaceae
Description: partial 16S ribosomal RNA
Rfam family: Bacterial small subunit ribosomal RNA
Source: RNAcentral
CCUACGGGCGGCAGCAGUGGGGAAUAUUGGACAAUGGGGGCAACCCUGAUCCAGCCAUGCCGCGUGUGUGAAGAAGGCCCUCGGGUUGUAAAGCACUUUCAGUGAGGAAGAACGCCUGGUGGUUAAUACCCAUCAGGAAAGACAUCACUCACAGAAGAAGCACCGGCUAACUCCGUGCCAGCGGCCGCGGUAAUACGGAGGGUGCGAGCGUUAAUCGGAAUUACUGGGCGUAAAGCGCGCGUAGGUGGCUUGAUAAGCCGGUUGUGAAAGCCCCGGGCUCAACCUGGGAACGGCAUCCGGAACUGUCAAGCUAGAGUGCAGGAGAGGAAGGUAGAAUUCCCGGUGUAGCGGUGAAAUGCGUAGAGAUCGGGAGGAAUACCAGUGGCGAAGGCGGCCUUCUGGACUGACACUGACACUGAGGUGCGAAAGCGUGGGUAGCAAACAGGAUUAGAUACCCGAGUAGUC